Molecule: ribosomal RNA, 403 nt
Filed under: uncultured bacterium
Lineage: Bacteria
Description: partial 16S ribosomal RNA
Rfam family: Bacterial small subunit ribosomal RNA
Source: RNAcentral
AUUGAACGCUGGCGGCCGGCCUAACACAUGCCAGCCGAGCGUGCGGCGGACGGGUGACUCAUGUAUGGGGACUGCCCGAUCGAGGGGGAUAACUACCGGAAACGGUGGCUAAUACCGCAUACUGUCGUAUAACCCAUAUGGGAUUAGCUAGUAGGUAAGGUAAUGGCUUACCGAGGCGACGAUCCCUAGCUGGUCCGAGAAGAUGAUCAGCCAAACUGGGAGAGAGACGCGACCGAGGCUCGUACGGAGUAGGCAGUGGGGAAGAUUGCACAGUGGUAGCAAGCCUGAUGCAGCCAUGCCGCGUGUAUGAAGAAGGACCUAGGGUUGUAAAGUACAUUAAGUCGGGAGGCGUUACCAAAAGAAGAAGCACCGGCUAAGUCCGUGCCAGCAGCCGCGGUAAUUC